This 329-nucleotide ribosomal RNA is filed under the name uncultured bacterium. Its description in RNAcentral is "bacterial SSU rRNA". It matches the Rfam family "Bacterial small subunit ribosomal RNA", at positions 568 to 898 of the family's 1533-position model. The record is from RNAcentral.
UUCGUAGGCGGUGUGGCAAGUUGGGAGUGAAAUCUCUGGGCUUAACCCAGAGGCUGCUUCCAAAACUGCUGUGCUUGAGUGUGGGAGAGGCGCGUGGAAUUGCAGGUGUAGCGGUGAAAUGCGUAGAUAUCUGCAGGAACACCCGUGGCGAAAGCGGCGCGCUGGACCACUACUGACGCUGAGGAACGAAGCUAGGGGAGCAAACAGGAUUAGAUACCCUGGUAGUCCUAGCCCUAAACGAUCGGGACUUGGGGUGCCGCACGUUCGUGCGUCGUCCCGGAGCUAACGCGUUAAGUCCCGCGCCUGGGGAGUACGGUCGCAAGACUGAA